GAUGAACGCUAGCGGCAGGCUUAAUACAUGCAAGUCGAGGGGCAGCACGAAUAGCAAUAUUUGGUGGCGACCGGCGCACGGGUGCGUAACACGUAUACAACCUACCUAUAACAGGGGGAUAGCCUUUCGAAAGAGAGAUUAAUACCCCCGUAAUAAAUUGAGUGGGCAGUCACUUGAUUUUGAAAGCUACGGCGGUUAUAGAUGGGUAUGCGUCUGAUUAGCUAGUUGGUGAGGUAACAGCUCACCAAGGCGACGAUCAGUAGGGGAUCUGAGAGGACUAACCCCCANACUGGUACCUGAGACACGGACCA
Molecule: ribosomal RNA, 311 nt
Filed under: uncultured bacterium
Lineage: Bacteria
Description: bacterial SSU rRNA
Rfam family: Bacterial small subunit ribosomal RNA
Source: RNAcentral